CACACAAGAAGGAAUAAAUAAUAAUACUCAAUUAAUCAAUUACUUGUAACAAGGAUUCACCUCCCUUUAGAACUGAAUAAAAAGAACUAGCCUGACAUGCUCUUGAGUCUGCACUCCAAUAGAUGAUAGUUGAUAAUUGAAUGAAUAAAACCCUGACUCUCAUCCUCUAUUUAUAGUGCUAGACAAAGUCCUAAAUCCUAUAGGAAGUAGAAAUCCAAAUCCUAAAAGGAAUUACAAAUCAUAACUAGUUUCCAUAAAGAAAUAGAAUUCAAUUUGGAAAUAAAUCUUAGUCUAAAGGAAAUCCUAAAGCUAAUAGAAAUAUCAAUCCAAUUCCAUGUAGAAGUCUACCAAAAUCUGCAUUUAGAAACUUUCCAAAAAUCCAAGAUUUCCUGAUUUUCCCGCUCAAAUUCGCUGGGGUGAAUUUUCAUUUCCUGCUGCGACGUCCUUUGGUAAAACGGGCAUAACUUUUAAUCCAGGAGGAGUUACGGGGUCUGCUACCUAUCAAAACGAAGAUAUCGACGAGAUCUACAACUUUUAUUCUUUGAGAAUCGACAGAAUCGCUCUGAAUAAAGGUCAAAAUCGGGCUCCAAAUGACUGCUGUGUAAAUUACAACUUCCAAACUUUGAGGUUCAACGUCCGUUUAGUAAAAAUAUCAUAACUUUUUCAUAUGAACUCCGAUUGGGACGAUUCAAGAUGUUCCGGAAAGCUAAAGAAGAGCUCUACAAUAAAAUUCAAGUCCCAAGCUAAGAACAUGCAUCCAACUUAAU
RNAcentral lists this long non-coding RNA (767 nucleotides) under Panax ginseng (ginseng). RNAcentral's name for it is "long non-coding RNA (PGIN_LNC004233)". The record is from RNAcentral. Lineage: Eukaryota; Viridiplantae; Streptophyta; Magnoliopsida; Apiales; Araliaceae.